RNAcentral lists this ribosomal RNA (1070 nucleotides) under fungal endophyte. RNAcentral's name for it is "eukaryotic LSU rRNA". The stretch from base 490 to 1070 matches the Rfam family "Eukaryotic large subunit ribosomal RNA", at positions 1 to 592 of the family's 3401-position model. Lineage: Eukaryota; Fungi. The record is from RNAcentral.
AAAACUCCCAAACCCCAUGUGAACCUACCUCUUGUUGCCUCGGUGGAGGCUGCGGGGGCGGGUGCGCGGCUACCCCUGUGGCCGGCCGCGCGCCUACCCUGCAGCCCUGCCGAACGGCCAACCAAACUCUUGUUUUGUUAAUGCUUCUGAGCGUCUUAUUUUAAUAAGUCAAAACUUUCAACAACGGAUCUCUUGGUUCUGGCAUCGAUGAAGAACGCAGCGAAAUGCGAUAAGUAAUGUGAAUUGCAGAAUUCAGUGAAUCAUCGAAUCUUUGAACGCACAUUGCGCCCGCUAGUAUUCUGGCGGGCAUGCCUGUUCGAGCGUCCUUAAGUCCAUCAAGCCCUGCUUGCUGUUGGGAGACCGCACGCCUCAGCGCGUGCGCCUCCCCAAAUCCAGCGGCGGAGCCGUGUCGGCCCCUGAGCGUAGUAGAUCUCUUCUCGCUUUUGGUGGCGGCGCGGUGCCGGCCGUAAAACUUCUUUCUCUUAGGUUGGACCUCGGAUCAGGUAGGAAUACCCGCUGAACUUAAGCAUAUCAAUAAGCGGAGGAAAAGAAACCAACAGGGAUUGCCCUAGUAACGGCGAGUGAAGCGGCAACAGCUCAAAUUUGAAAUCUGGCCUUCGGGUCCGAGUUGUAAUUUGCAGAGGAUGCUUCUGGUGCGGUUCCUUCCAAGUUCCCUGGAACGGGACGCCUUAGAGGGUGAGAGCCCCGUACGGUUGGACACCAAGCCUAUGUGAAGCACCUUCGACGAGUCGAGUAGUUUGGGAAUGCUGCUCUAAAUGGGAGGUAAAUUUCUUCUAAAGCUAAAUACCGGCCAGAGACCGAUAGCGCACAAGUAGAGUGAUCGAAAGAUGAAAAGCACUUUGAAAAGAGGGUUAAAUAGCACGUGAAAUUGUUGAAAGGGAAGGAUUUGUGACCAGACCUUGUCCUUGGGGAUCAUCCGGCGUUCUCGCCGGUGCACUUCCCUUGGUUAAGGCCAGCAUCGGUUUCUGUGGGGGGAUAAAAGCUUCGGGAAUGUGGCUCCCUACGGGGAGUGUUAUAGCCCGGGGUAUAAUACCCUCACGGGGACCGAG